CACGUAGGGCGCAAGCGUUGCUCGGAAUCACUGGGCGUAAAGCGCACGUAGGCGGAUUGUUAAGUCAGGGGUGAAAUCCUGGAGCUCAACUCCAGAACUGCCUUUGAUACUGGCGAUCUUGAGUCCGGGAGAGGUGAGUGGAACUGCGAGUGUAGAGGUGAAAUUCGUAGAUAUUCGCAAGAACACCAGUGGCGAAGGCGGCUCACUGGCCCGGUACUGACGCUGAGGUGCGAAAGCGUGGGGAGCAAACAGG
RNAcentral lists this ribosomal RNA (253 nucleotides) under uncultured bacterium. Its description in RNAcentral is "partial 16S ribosomal RNA". It matches the Rfam family "Bacterial small subunit ribosomal RNA", at positions 524 to 776 of the family's 1533-position model. The record is from RNAcentral.